The submitters of this non-coding RNA (54 nucleotides) gave its source as unclassified sequences. The record is from Rfam.
AACGUUCAUCCCGUUAGGGGACGGAAGUAAGCAAUCAAGCUGAAGGAACGCACU